AGUCUUGCCGGUGGAUCACUUGGCUCGUAGGUCGAUAAAGAUCGCAGCCAAACGCGAUAGUUGGUGCGAACUGCAGAUAUUCUGAGCACUAAAGUAUCGAAUGCACAUUGCGCCUUGGGAAUCACAUCCCUUGGCACGUCUGGUUCAGGGUCGUUUUCACAAAAGCCGC
RNAcentral lists this ribosomal RNA (169 nucleotides) under Tylenchulus musicola. Its description in RNAcentral is "5.8S ribosomal RNA". The stretch from base 2 to 153 matches the Rfam family "5.8S ribosomal RNA". From Rfam's summary of the family: 5.8S ribosomal RNA (5.8S rRNA) is a component of the large subunit of the eukaryotic ribosome. It is transcribed by RNA polymerase I as part of the 45S precursor that also contains 18S and 28S rRNA. Functionally, it is thought that 5.8S rRNA may be involved in ribosome translocation. Lineage: Eukaryota; Metazoa; Nematoda; Chromadorea; Rhabditida; Tylenchulidae. The record is from RNAcentral.